GACGAACGCUGGCGGCGCGCUUAACACAUGCAAGUCGAACGGAAAGGCCUGCUUUCCCUUGUGGAUUGCGGGUACUCGAGUGGCGAACGGGUGAGUAACACGUGAGUGAUCUGCCCCCAACUUGGGUAUAAGCCUGGGAAACUGGGUCUAAUUCCCGAUAGGACUGCAGGGUGGUGCCUGUGGUGGAAAACGAUUUUCUAGUGGUUGGGGAUGAGCUCGCGGCCUAUCAGCUUGUUGGUGGGGGAAUGGCCUACCAAGGCGGCGACGGGUAGCCGGCCUGGGAGGGUGGACGGCCGCGUUGGGACUGAGAUACGGCCCAGGCUCCUCCGGGAGGCAGCCGUGGGGAAUAUUGCACGAUGGGCGGAAGCCUGAUGCAGCGACGCCGCGUGGGGGAUGACGGCCUUCGGGUUGUAAACUCCUUUCGACCGCGAGGAAGCCACCUGGUUGGAAGGGUGGUGACGGUAGUGGUAGAAGAAGCACCGGCUAACUACGUG
Molecule: ribosomal RNA, 494 nt
Filed under: uncultured bacterium
Lineage: Bacteria
Description: partial 16S ribosomal RNA
Rfam family: Bacterial small subunit ribosomal RNA
Source: RNAcentral